Molecule: long non-coding RNA, 2190 nt
Filed under: Malus domestica (apple)
Lineage: Eukaryota; Viridiplantae; Streptophyta; Magnoliopsida; Rosales; Rosaceae
Description: long non-coding RNA (MDOM_LNC013526)
Source: RNAcentral
AUGAUGGAAAUAAUUAAUUGGAUUAAUUAAGUGUUGUGAUUAAUUUAGAAAGUCUAAAGAAAUCAUAAAAGUGAUAAAAGAUCGUUUUGGGCUUAAAGAAACGUUCGGGUUUAAUUGGGCCCAUUGGGCCUAAACCCAUUGCGCUUUAUUCAAGCAUAGGAUGACUUGAAUUAAUAAAAGCCCAAAGCCCAAACCAAACACUAUAGGGCCAGCCACUUAAAGGGUUUGGGAGAGAUAUUUAGUCAAGUUGUUGACUAGGUUUCUUUUGUCUAUAUAAGGAACUUUAUAGCACUAAGUUCAUUAGGGUUUUUGUGUGUUUAAAACAACAAAGAGGCAAAAGAAAUAUCUCUCUAAAACACUACAAAGGCCGGCCACCUUGGGGGUGUUUUUACUAACACAUCUUUCACCCUUUUGGUUAUUCCUCCAUCCAUCUCACUACACUAGUGGGUGUGGAUCUUUAGAGGUUUUCUACUUUGGAAACUUGGAGAGAACCUUGGAGCACUCUUACUAACAAAGUGGAGGAGGCAAGGAGGGAGGCUAGGCUCAAGGACUUCAAGGAGCAAAGGGCUUGGAGGUGGUCCAUCCUUGGUCUAAAAUCAAGAUCAAGAGGUAUAGAUCUAUUCCUUGACUUUGUUCUUAAGUUAAAUGUUUUGAUGCAUUAUAUAUAAACCUAUGAACCUUGAAGGGGAUUUGCAUGACUAUUGCUUUGAUAUUAUUUGAUAAAUUGCUUCCGUUGCUCAUGUAUAUAAAUUUUGAAUUGUAUAUGCAUGCUAGUCAUUUAGAAAUCCCAUGUGUUAAGCUCAUAAUUUUCCCUUCAAGUGGUAUAAGAGCCAAAGGUUUAUGUAUAAUGUGUCCUUUUGGAUUUUAUGCAUAUGGGUAUUAAUAUUAUGCAUGACAUAAUUAUUGCUUCAUUCAAAAUAUGUUUAUCUUUUGUUUUUCAAUAGUUGAAAAAUGUUAGUCAAUAGUUGAGAAAGAUAUGUAUGCAAAAGAUGUUUUGUAUGCAUGAAUGAAAAUUGAGUUUUGAACUAAUUUGACAUAUUAUUUCUUCAUUUAAAGUAUGUUUAUCUUUUGUUUUUUCAAUGGUUGAAAAAUAUAAAUUAAGAGUUGAAAAAGAUAUGCAUGUAAAAAGGUGUUUUAGAUGCAUGAAUGAAGAAUAAGUCAUGAACAAAAUUUUGAGGUUUUGAACCAAAAAGGGAGGGCACGGUUUUGGGGGUGGUUUUGGGUUGUGUUUGUGUUUUAUUGUAAACCACUCACACAUCCUUUUAAAGCUAGAAAAAAGGGUUCUUGUCACUUUUGUUUUUGGGUUUGAAAAAUCACCAAGAAUAUACAAAUCUUGAAAAUGUGUUCAUGGUUUUGUUCUUGGUGUUCAUGGUUUGGUUUUAGGUGAAAAUGGUUUUAUUUGAUUUUCAUGCAUUGUUUUGUGGUUUUGGAUGAUGUUCAUACCAUCCAUAACCAUAUCAUAAUUUUUUUAUAAAACCCUAGACUUGACUAGGAGGAUUUCCAUCACCUUUUCCCUAAAGUCUUUGAAGCAAAACCAAGUGACAAGCAAAAUUUAUUUUUUUCUACAUAAUGUGGUUUUUGAUGCAUGUUGUGUAAGAGUGUGUAAGAAACCUCCCAUCCCCUUAAUGUGGCCAGCCUCCCUAGUGGAUUUAUCCACUUGUGGGGCUAUUUUGUAAUCUUUGAAAAGUUGAUAUUUACUUUUGAGUAUUUCCGGUUUGACCCCUAACUUUUUCAUAUUUGCAUUUAGGCCCCUACUAACUAGAAAGUUAAAAUAAUUGAUUUUAAUUUUGUUAGUUGUUUAAACUCAUAAUUCUAUUAUGCCCAUAUGCACUAAAUCUAAAUGUUCAUGUUGCAUUCCAUUUUGAUUAUUUAAUGUGAUUAAGUAGUUAGAAAAUGGUGACUAUGGACUUAUGCCUUAAACGAUAAUUGAGCUAUGAGAUAAGGCGCUAAAAUCAAAUUGUUUGAACCUUGGGAUUGUGUUUUAAUUACUGUUUUUAAUGGACCCUGUCACAUUUGACAUUAAUCUAUCUCUCCCUCUUAGUAUGUGUAAUAUGUAGGAAUUUGUACAAAUCGGUUUGUAAUUCUUAUUAUUUCUUAAUCUCUUUUAGUUAGUUGAUUCCCUUGUUGGAAAUGUGCCCUAAAACCAAUCAUGUGAUGAUGCUUUACGGACAUUUCACAUGUUAAACUAAU